ACGUACAGUAUCCUUCAAUAAAUUCCGAGGGGGGUGCUUGGAGAAUGAAGACAUCUGUCGGAUCCCAACUAAACCCUUUGAAAAUAUUUCGCGCAAACUUGAUACCGUGCAGACGCAAACUUGACGUGUAGACCGAAAAGGUAAUCAUAACAACUCAGAACAGCAGUGAUUUUAAAUAGAUGCUAAAUGAUUUUGCUUUCUUUUUUAACUUGGCGUCUCAUUCCUGGACUGUUUGUGAAUGGGAUUUUUAAAUUCUUCAAUGGCAUUCAAGGAUUCAAGGAUGAAUUGAACAAGAAACUGGAAGAAGUAAGCAAGAAAACGAUUCAUUCAAUAUCCGAAACGCAAGAAUUGAUCCAGCAACUGACGGCCUACACAUGUCAACAAAUGUUGGAGGAGACAACGACCAAAAUGGAGAAUCUUUGUAAUCAGUUGUUGAUUAAGAAUGAACACAAUAGAAAUCUUGACAGAAAGACUCGCAAAGCAGAAUACAUAUUAGCUGGCCAAGAGACCUCUCAGCGAUUAAUAUGCUGAUUUGGAAAAAAACAAAUUGCUUAUCUUAAGUUUCAGUUGUCUGAAAAGGCUAUUGAACUCCAGUGCAAGGAAAGGAAGAUUGAGGAAACUGAGAAUGCCUUGAAAGACUUGUCGCUACAUUCUCAUAGCAAUGAACAGUUGACCAUUGUCGAAGAAAGCAAUCGCGAACUUUAGGGCAAAUUUGAUGAAAAGGCCCAGGAACUUGAAGCUGCUCUUGUUUGUCGAGAGAAUUCACAACGAUUAAAAGCCGAUCUCGAUAAGUCAAAGUCAAUAGAACUACAGUAGAGCGGAUGGAAGAAAUGGAGAGAGCCUUAGAUGAAUUGACACUAAAGUUUCUUAACACUGAGCGGGCAGAAUCCUGCCGAUCAGAAGUGGACAACUGGACAUGCCGAGACAACAAGAAAAGUUGGAGAUAGGCGCUUUGAAAACAUCCUUAAAUUUAAAGAAUUUAGAACUUGAGAGUAUCAGCGGUGAAUACGAAGAGGCCCAGUAGAUUAUGGCGUCAUCGGAAAGAAAGAUAGCCGAUCUCGAGUCAGCCUUCUGGAGCGAAGAUUGGAAACGGAAAGUGAACAGGUAAAUUCGUUUCGAGCAUCUGUCUUAUUUGUCAUUUAAUUUAGAUAUAUUAUGGUAAUUUUUUUAGGCUUCUUUCCCUAACCAACAACCUGUGAUAAAGGCUGCCGUGGAACCAGCACGUUCGCUUCGGCCCAUCUUGAAGCAAACAUUUUCUGAUGUCAAACAACAGGAACUGGCUUCACAAGAUGCAAGGACACCGUUUUAGCUAUAAAAAAAAGGUUAAUAAAGGUUAUACUUUUGAACCUAGAAAGGAGAUGCAUCUAAAACUGCCAUGGAUACUUUAAAUCUUUUGCAGAAAGCUAAUGCUAUUGUAAGACCCUAUUUGUUGAUGUCGUGCCGUCGCAAACUUGAUGCCAUGAAUGAUAUGAAUUGAUGAUGCAAUACAAUGAAUUAUGCAAACAGCGUA
This is a long non-coding RNA of Daphnia pulex (common water flea), 1510 nucleotides long. RefSeq lists it as uncharacterized. The record is from RefSeq and is a predicted model, not a curated record. The transcript is spliced from 5 exons. NCBI's taxonomy places the organism in Eukaryota, Metazoa, Arthropoda, Branchiopoda, Diplostraca, Daphniidae.